AUUGAACGCUGGCGGAAUGCUUUACACAUGCAAGUCGAACGGUAGAGGGGGCAACCCCUCGAGAGUGGCGAACGGGUGAGUAAUAUAUCGGAACGUGCCCAGUCGUGGGGGAUAACGUAGCGAAAGUUACGCUAAUACCGCAUACGAUCUAAGGAUGAAAGCGGGGGAUCGCAAGACCUCGCGCGAUUGGAGCGGCCGAUAUCAGAUUAGGUAGUUGGUGGGGUAAAGGCUCACCAAGCCAACGAUCUGUAGCUGGUCUGAGAGGACGACCAGCCACACUGGAACUGAGACACGGUCCAGACUCCUACGGGAGGCAGCAGUGGGGAAUUUUGGACAAUGGACGCAAGUCUGAUCCAGCCAUUCCGCGUGCAGGAUGAAGGCCCUCGGGUUGUAAACUGCUUUUGUACGGAACGAAAAGGUCUCUCUUAAUACGGGGGGCUCAUGACGGUACCGUAAGAAUAAGCACCGGCUAACUACGUGCCAGCCGCCGCCGUAA
Molecule: ribosomal RNA, 496 nt
Filed under: uncultured bacterium
Lineage: Bacteria
Description: partial 16S ribosomal RNA
Rfam family: Bacterial small subunit ribosomal RNA
Source: RNAcentral